CCCGACGACAAGAGUGCUGUGGUCCUACCUGACCCCAUACCGAACUCAGAAGUAAAACGCAGUAACGUCGAUGGUAGUGUGG
This 82-nucleotide ribosomal RNA is filed under the name Mannheimia haemolytica. The record is from RNAcentral. Lineage: Bacteria; Pseudomonadati; Pseudomonadota; Gammaproteobacteria; Pasteurellales; Pasteurellaceae.